The submitters of this non-coding RNA (138 nucleotides) gave its source as unclassified sequences. The record is from Rfam.
AUAUUAAUUGAGGGGUGACCCUCAACUGACAUACAAGGGGAGGUUUCGGCCAAAUGUUGUAUGCAGAAAGCGUGAGGAAGGUAGCACUUAGACACUCACGAGUAGCGGUUCGGCAGUAGUGCUAAAAUGACGAACCAA